UACGUAGGGGGCAAGCGUUGUCCGGAAUCAUUGGGCGUAAAGAGCGCGUAGGCGGCCCAGUAAGUCCGCUCUGAAAGUCAGGGGCUCAACCCCUGAAUGCGGGUGGAUACUGCUGGGCUAGAGUCCGGAAGAGGCGAGUGGAAUUCCUGGUGUAGCGGUGAAAUGCGCAGAUAUCGGGAAGAACACCCGUGGCGAAGGCGGCACUCUGGGACGGUACUGACGCUGAGACGCGAAAGCGUGGGGAGCGAACAGG
Molecule: ribosomal RNA, 253 nt
Filed under: uncultured bacterium
Lineage: Bacteria
Description: partial 16S ribosomal RNA
Rfam family: Bacterial small subunit ribosomal RNA
Source: RNAcentral